GGGCCAGCCAGCAACACGGGAGACGAGACCAACCUGGGCUCGGGCCGCACGAGUGGGCAGAAGAGGGUCGGCGGGUCGUUGUAGCUGAGGGGAGCCGCUGGGGUUGAGGCCGCCGCCGCGACGUCCAGCUUCGCCCCCUCCGCCGCGCAGACUCGUCGGCCGCCGGUCGCCUCCUCCUCCCCAGGUAUUCCGCCGCAGUGCCAUUGGCCAGGCCGCUCACCGCUUGCCUGCUUCUACCGGCCUUCUCCCCCGCGGCCUCGCUACAGCUUCGCCAACUACCUCGCCUACGACCCCUACAAGGCCAGCGCCUGCGUCCACCCGCAGCUGUCCCGGCCGUUGGUGAUGAAGAGGGCGCAGCUCCUCCAGCUGCCGCGGUACUUUCUCUUCGCCACCUAACUCAAGUUCCCGCUGGCCCUGGGCUGGUGACAAGGUCAACUCACCUAAACGACCAACUUACCUGUUUCUUUCUUUCGAGGAUGCGGUCUCCUUAAUCGACUUGACCUCCGCUCCGCACUUGCGCACUUCGUUUUACAACUUGAAGAAUUUUUCUUUCUUCUUCUCCUUUCUUCUCGACCACAGGCUGGUCAGUUCUGUUAGCCCUUUUGUCUAUGAGGUUUAGACUCUUCAAAAUGUGUCGUCAAGGGACCAUGUAGACUUCUAUUUUUCUUUCCUGAACUCUUCCACAGAUUCGGAUCACCUCGCUGACUACGUCUUCUACGGUGUUGUCUAUUACUGUCCAGAAGGCUUGGUUGACCUUGACCACGGUCGAAAUUUGGUCCCUGAACCGACGGCGGUAGUACUUACGGCUGGAUAUUAAGGUCGUCUGCUUCCUAGAGACGAACUCGUAAAAACACUCCGGAUGGACGACUGUUGUAUAAACGACUACCCGUUGUUACAUACGGACAGUUAACAAUUUCAAUUCACUCCAGAGUGGGAGUGAUUCGUUGUAUCCGUGGGAGAGAAAACUAAAAACGGCUCAAGAAGCCACGAUCAAAACUAUCGUUUUGCAACCCUUUGUUGAUUAGUCUGGAAAAAAAAUACUUCAAUUCUCCGGACAAAAACCAAACGUGCUACAUUGUCGACCUUAACCAAAUAGCCCGUAUUUAUUCGUACUACACUCAAAGUAUGCAUAUUGUGUC
This 1139-nucleotide ribosomal RNA is filed under the name Triticum aestivum (bread wheat). RNAcentral describes it as "partial small subunit ribosomal RNA". Lineage: Eukaryota; Viridiplantae; Streptophyta; Magnoliopsida; Poales; Poaceae. The record is from RNAcentral.